This 1134-nucleotide ribosomal RNA is filed under the name marine metagenome. Its description in RNAcentral is "bacterial SSU rRNA". It matches the Rfam family "Bacterial small subunit ribosomal RNA", at positions 358 to 1520 of the family's 1533-position model. The record is from RNAcentral.
GGAAUAUUGCACAAUGGGCGAAAGCCUGAUGCAGCAACGCCGCGUGCGUGAUGAAGGCCUUCGGGUCGUAAAGCGCUUUUAGAGGGGAUGAAUCAAGACAGUACCUUCAGAAUAAGGAUCGGCUAACUACGUGCCAGCAGCCGCGGUAAAACGUAGGAUCCGAGCGUUAUCCGGAAUCACUGGGCGUAAAGGGCGUGUAGGCGGUUUAGCAAGUCGGUCAUGAAAGCUCCCGGCUCAACUGGGAGAGGUUGUUCGAUACUGCUAGACUAGAGGGCAAGAGAGGGAGGUGGAAUUCCCGGUGUAGAGGUGAAAUGCGUAGAUAUCGGGAGGAACACCAGUGGCGAAGGCGGCCUCCUGGCUUGCACCUGACGCUGAGACGCGAAAGCGUGGGGAGCGAACGGGAUUAGAAACCCCGGUAGUCCACGCCGUAAACGAUGUCAACUAGGUGUCGGUGGUAUAAAAUCCGUCGGUACCGGAGCUAACGCAUUAAGUUGACCGCCUGGGGACUACGAUCGCAAGAUUAAAACUCAAAGGAAUUGACGGGGACCCGCACAAGCAGCGGAGCGUGUGGUUUAAUUCGAGGCUACGCGAAGAACCUUACCAGGGAUUGACAUGUACGUAGUAGGGAAGUGAAAACGGACCGACCCUUCGGGGAGCGUACACAGGUGAUGCAUGGCUGUCGUCAGCUCGUGCCGUGAGGUGUCAGGUUAAGUCCUGUAACGAGCGCAACCCCUGUCGUGUGUUAUACGUGUCACACGAGACUGCCGGUGUCAAACCGGAGGAAGGCGGGGAUGACGUCAAGUCAGCAUGUCCUUCAUAUCCUGGGCUACACACACGCUACAAUGGUCGGGACAAUAGGCAGCCAAGCCGCGAGGCGGAGCUAAUCCUCUAAACCCGAUCUCAGUUCGGAUUGUAGGCUGCAACUCGCCUGCAUGAAGCCGGAGUUGCUAGUAACCGCGCGUCAGCAACAGUGCGGUGAAUACGUUCCCGGGUCUUGUACACACCGCCCGUCACGUCAUGGAAGCUGGCAACACCUGAAGCCGGUGGCCUAACCGCAAGGAGGGAGCCGUCUAAGGUGGGGUUGGUGACUGGGACGAAGUCGUAACAAGGUAGCUGUAGCGGAAGCUGCGGCUG